CCUCGCUGCAUCCCGGCGUA
Molecule: microRNA, 20 nt
Filed under: Gallus gallus (chicken)
Lineage: Eukaryota; Metazoa; Chordata; Aves; Galliformes; Phasianidae
Description: gga-miR-12288-3p
Source: miRBase by way of RNAcentral